Long non-coding RNA from Phasianus colchicus (ring-necked pheasant), 1547 nucleotides. The record is from Ensembl. Lineage: Eukaryota; Metazoa; Chordata; Aves; Galliformes; Phasianidae.
GCUCAUUAACCCCCCACCCCAGAGCCCCUAAUUAGCGGGGACUCAUUAUCCCCCCGGAGCCCCUAAUUAACAGGGGCUCGUUAAUUACCCCCGUGCUGCCCGCAGAGUGACGCCCCCCCCCGAAACCCCCCGCGGAGUGGGGGAGGGGCCGAGGACCCCCGCGGGCGGCGUGUGGGGAAAUGGGGGAUUUGGGGCAAUAAACGCAGAUUUUGGGGCCGGCGACGAUUUGGGGUCGUUUGUUGGGGUUUUGGGGUCGGUUGGUGGGAUUUUGGGGUCAGCUGUUCGGAUUUUGGGGUCAGUCGUUGGGGUUUUGGGGUCGGUUGGUGGGGUUUUGGGGUCGGUUGGUGGGAUUUUGGGGUCAGCUGUUCAGAUUUUGGGGUCAAUCGUUGGGGUUUUGGGGUCGGUUGGUGGGAUUUUAGGGUCAAUCGUUGGGAUUUUGGGGUUGUUGGGGUUUUGGGGUCGGUUGGUGGGAUUUUGGGGUCAGCUGUUCGGAUUUUGGGGUCAAUCGUUGGGGUUUUGGGGUCGUUUGUUGGGGUUUUGGGGUCAGUUGUUGGGAUUUUGGGGUCAAUGGGAUUUUGGGGGCCUCUUCUUGAGCUUUUAGGGUCAAUUGUUGGGAUUUUGGGGUUUUUCGUUGGGGUUUUGGGGUCAACUCUCGGGGUUUGGGGGUCGGUUGUUGGGAUGUUGGGGUCAAUUCCUGAGAUUUUGGGGUCAAUCAUUGGGAUUUUGGGGUCAAUCAUUCAGAUUUUGGGGGCCUCUUCUUGGGGUUUUGGGGUCAAUUGUUGGGAUUUCAGGGCCGGUUGUUCAGAUUUUGGGGUUGUUCCGUGUUUUAUGGGGUCACCCCAUUAAUUUUUGGGGUGAAUUCUGCCCCUUUCAGCUCCCAUCCCCCAAACCUUGGCAGUUUACAUUUCCAACAUUUAUUCCAUUUUGGGGCAUUUCUGCAGCUUUUAGGGCCCCCCCCGCCCCAAAAAUCUUCUGGGAGUCCCCCCCAAUUUUGGGGGCAGAUUCCCAUUUUUGGGGCCCCCUCCAGAUAUUUUUUUGGGGGGGGUUCCCAUGUUUUGGGGUCCCAUUUCUGCAGGGGGGGGUCCCACAUUUGGGGGGUUCUUGGGAUUCUGGGGGGGGUCCCACAUUCUGAGGGGUCCCUGCCAUUUUGGGGGGAGUUCCCCAGUUUUUGGGAUCCCCCCCAUAAUCUUGGGACCCCCCCGGAUUUUGGAAGGGGGUCCCCAAUUCUGGGGGGAUCCCCAAUUUCUGGGGGGAUCCUUCAGUUUCUGGGGGGGGUCCCCAAAGUUUGGUUGAUCUCCUCGUUUCUGUGGGGGGGUCCCCAAUUUCUGGGGGGAUUUUCCAAAUAUUGGGCCCCCCCCAAAUACUUUGGGACCCCCCCAGAUUUUGGAAGGGGGUCCCCAAUUCUAGGGGGGGUCCCCAAUUUCUGGGGCAAUCCUUUUGUUUCUGUAGGGGGGUCCCCAAUGUUUGGCUGAUCUCCCAGUUCCUGUGGGGGGGUCCCCAGUUCUUGGGGGGUGGAUUUUCCAGCUCUUGUGACCCCCCCCUCAUAU